This 67-nucleotide small nuclear RNA is filed under the name Gopherus agassizii (Agassiz's desert tortoise). Its description in RNAcentral is "U4 spliceosomal RNA (ENSGAGG00000005308.1)". It matches the Rfam family "U4 spliceosomal RNA", at positions 19 to 83 of the family's 138-position model. From Rfam's summary of the family: U4 small nuclear RNA (U4 snRNA) is a component of the major U2-dependent spliceosome. The structure of U4 snRNA from yeast and human has been reported. U4 snRNA presents a k-turn RNA motif in the 5p-SL related to recognition of Snu13 protein. The record is from RNAcentral. Lineage: Eukaryota; Metazoa; Chordata; Testudines; Testudinidae.
CGUAUCAUAACCAAUGAAGUUAAUCUGAGGUAUGAUUAUUGCUAGUUGAAAACUUAUCCUGCCCAGC